Molecule: long non-coding RNA, 2617 nt
Organism: Piliocolobus tephrosceles (Ugandan red Colobus)
Lineage: Eukaryota; Metazoa; Chordata; Mammalia; Primates; Cercopithecidae
Source: Ensembl
UGUACGUACGUUUUAUGAACAUGAUCAUGUGCCAACUCGUUUUAAUAACACACUUUUUUCUCUCCUUUUCUUGCCCCAAAAAUGAAGCUCUAUAUAUAUUUACUUAAACUUGUGCUUAUAAUUGUAAUAACACUCCAACAAUUACUACUAUCAUAUAUUAUGUUUAGCAAUAAACUAUUUUUAUAUAUUUUUGACGUAACUUUUAUUAUUAUUUUAACAUUUUAUUUAGCUAGUUCUAAAAAUAACAUACAUAUAUAUAGUAUAUAUAUAUAUAUUAUAGUAACAAAAAUAACUAUAAUUUAUUUUAUUUCUAUUCCUAAUAGUAUUAUUCAUAAUAAAAGUAUUUAUACAUAUUAUAUAAAAUAUUUUAAUGAUGUUUUAUAUUUAAUAUAUGCAGUUACGUUUACUUUAUUAAUUACAGUAAUUGUAUAUAUUAUUUUUUUUUAUAUAACAAAUUAUAAUUUAUUAUCAAUUGAUACUAUUACUGUUGAAAACAUUUUAUUUCUUAUUAUAGCUGUAUAUGUAUCCAUAGAUAUAAUAGAUAUAUCUGAUUUUUUUUAUAAUUCUUAUUUAUAUUUUUUAUAUUAUUAUUUUAGAUUAAAAGAUGAAUAUAUUAUGCUUUCUAAUAUAAAGUUGUUUGAACAACAAUUUUUUAAAGAAAAAAAUAUUAGCAAAUUUUAUAUUACUACAACAAAUAUAACUGAAAUAUUUUAUAUCACUAUAGGCAUUUUAAUAUCUUUAAAUGUGUUUAUACAUGCAUAUUCUUUACCUAAUUAUUCACAUGAGGCUAACAUACAACAGAUUGGUUUUAUUAAAAACUCAGUAAAAAAAAAAAAAAAAUAUAAUGAAAAACAAUGUAAUGAAAAACAAUGUAAUGAAAAACAAUAUAAUGCAAAACAAUAUAAUACAAAACAAUAUAAUGCAAAACAAUAUAAUGCAAAACAAUAUAAUGCAAAAUAUAGGAACAAGUAUAAACAUAACAAUAAUAACAAUAAAAAUUAUAAUUUUAUUAAGAGUUACAAUUAUGAUCAUAUAAAUCCUAAAGCUAGUAAUAAUUUUAAAUCAAAAUUAUUAACAGAUUUCCAAUUUAACAGACCCAAAUCAAAUAUAUGUAAUAAAAAAAGUAGAUCCGAAUCCAUAAUAAAAGCUUUAACAAACCAGAAACUUCCUGCUAAUACAACAUCAACUUUAACGACAGUUCCACAUUCGACAUCAGACAUACAACCAUAUGCUACAACUCCAAAAAUAAUUAAUAUAUCACAGAAACACAUAUAUAACAACUUUAAAAUCAAUAACGAAUUUUCUAAAACAUAUAAUAUUACUUCUAACACACAACAUUACGAUGAAUAUUUUUUAAAAAAAACAUAUUAUGAUUCAAAAAUUAGUGGGGACGCAUUAUCUUGUUUGAAAUAUAUUAGUGUAUGUAGUUUUAUUUUUACCAACUUAAAUUUUUGUUUCGUUAGACUAAUGAAUAUAUUGUUAUUUUCUGAGUUAUUGUCUUCCUCAUUCUUUAUCAUAAAAAACAUCUGCUUCAUUGCUAUAUGCAUCUUAAGGAUGUACAGAAAGUCCAAGUAUAAUAAAGGAUUGAAUUACAAAAAAAAAAAAAAUAAAAAUAAAAUAAAAAAUUUAUAUUCUAAAAUAGAUAAUAAUGACAUUUUUGCUAUGAACAAAAACAAUCAAUCCGAAAUGGAAAACUUUGACGACGAAAGUAACGCCCAAGUUAGACACUGGUAUGGUGGAUGUACGUAUAAGUCAUAUACACUUAAUACAAGGAAACUUCAAAAAAGAAACACAAAUGAAAUUUCUUACACUUUUGAAACUUAUAAAACAAAAAGUUCUAUAUUACAAAAUAGUUAUGAUAGUAAAAUAUUAUUUUCUAAAACUAUUGGUUUUAAUGAUUUUAUAAAUAUACAAGAUAUAGAACAUAGUGAAUAUAAUAAAUGUACUAGUUUAAAAUAUAAUCAUAUAAAGUUUUAUUUUAAUUUUUUAUAUUUAAAAUAUAAUGGACUUAAUAUAAAAAAAUAUAUAACCUACUACUUCGAUAAUAUAUCUAGACAAUCAUUCAAAUAUUCAUUUUUUUUUUUUUUUUUUAUUUUAUUAAUAGCUAUAAAAAUAACCAUUAUUGUUAUAACAUAUAUUUUUGAUUUUGAUCAGGAUUUUCAAAUAAAAUUAUAUGAUUUGACUUUUAAUUAUAACAUAAAAAUUAACUCGGGGUUAGUAAUGUUUAUUCACAUGAGUCGGAACAAAAAUAUCAUGCCCAUGUUGUUUAUAUUCGUGCGAAUGGUAUAUCUUCUUCUUUCCGACUCCUAUAUUUUCAUUAAUAUGAUUCUUGGAAGAAUAUACAUUACCUAUAAUUAUAAAACGAAAGAGAGAAAAGACAUACACAGUGAUGCAAAUUCAUAUGGUAAUGUUUCAGUUACCAUAUCAAUAAUAUCAUUAUUAAUAUUUAAGUUAAUAAAAUAUAUGAACGGACCCCUUAUAUUAAAUAAAAUUAUUAUAGGCAAUAAUCUUAUCAAGAACACUAGAGUUGAUAAUUUUUUUUAUUUUAGACAUAUUAAAACCAUUAUACAAAAACUAAUUGUUUAUUUUUUAUGCUUUAUUUUUUGUUUUAAUAUUA